UUGCGAAACAGCUCCAAUUUCCUUGUCCAGCUUGCUUCAGUUUUCUUUCUUCCAGCAUGUAUCUGACCUUCAUCCCCAUUGUAGAACUUGGAUUUUGUUCUACAGUCUUCAACCUUUUGAUCCCCUGUAACCUUGGCACUUGACAAGCUAAUUCCCACAUUGAAUCCCAUAGCUUGCUCAUGAAAUUUGGUCAGCUUCAUCUCCCUUCGAAGCCUGCUCGUCUCGCCUCGUCCCAAGUCGUUUCGGUUUGCAAGCUCUUCAUGUUUAACAUAUAUCUCGAACUUAACUUCAUUAACUUCAACAUCUUGAAUUCCAUAACCUUGGACAUGAUUAUGGACAGCUUUGUCAACACUGAUUGGCCUCCAAUUAAGCUCGACUCUUGGUUUCAACCACUUGCCAAAAUGCCCCAAGUUAUUUAAGAUUUGGUGCCUAGCCCAAUUCACAUCACAGGU
Molecule: long non-coding RNA, 452 nt
Filed under: Olea europaea (common olive)
Lineage: Eukaryota; Viridiplantae; Streptophyta; Magnoliopsida; Lamiales; Oleaceae
Description: long non-coding RNA (OEUR_LNC009554)
Source: RNAcentral